RNAcentral lists this ribosomal RNA (551 nucleotides) under uncultured Acaulosporaceae. RNAcentral describes it as "SSU rRNA". It matches the Rfam family "Eukaryotic small subunit ribosomal RNA", at positions 548 to 1098 of the family's 1831-position model. Lineage: Eukaryota; Fungi; Glomeromycota; Glomeromycetes; Diversisporales; Acaulosporaceae. The record is from RNAcentral.
UUGGAGGGCAAGUCUGGUGCCAGCAGCCGCGGUAAUUCCAGCUCCAAUAGCGUAUAUUAAAGUUGUUGCAGUUAAAAAGCCCGUAGUUGAAUUUCGGAGUUUGUCGGUCGGUCGGGCUUCACUGUCCGCACUGGCCUGACGGAUUCCUACCUUCUGAAUAACCAGCAUGCUAUUAAGUUAGUGCGUUGGGGAAGCAGAGCUAUUACCUUGAAAAAAUUAGAGUGCUUAAAGCAGGCUUAUGCUUGAAUAGAUUAGCAUGGAAUAAUAAAAUAGGACGGCAUGGUUCUAUUUUGUUGGUUUCUAGGAUCACCGUAAUGAUUAAUAGGGAUAGUUGGGGGCAUUAGUAUUCAAUUGUCAGAGGUGAAAUUCUUGGAUUUAUUGAAGACUAACUUCUGCGAAAGCAUUUGCCAAGGAUGUUUUCAUUAAUCAAGAACGAAAGUUAGGGGAUCGAAGACGAUCAGAUACCGUCGUAGUCUUAACCAUAAACUAUGCCGACUAGGGAUCGGACGAUGUUAAUUUUUUAAUGACUCGUUCGGCGCCUUACGGGAAAC